AUUACAUAUUAAUUAAUUAUAUUAAUCCUUACACAAUAUUUUUGAUGUGUUCUUAUACUGAAAAUAUUUAUUACUAUUCCAGGUAUAACCCGAGGUGAUUAGCAGUAGUCGUUGGAGGUGGUUGGCGGUGGUCGGAGGUGGACGAGGAGGA
RNAcentral lists this long non-coding RNA (151 nucleotides) under Neodiprion lecontei (redheaded pine sawfly). Its description in RNAcentral is "uncharacterized LOC124295519". The record is from RNAcentral. Lineage: Eukaryota; Metazoa; Arthropoda; Insecta; Hymenoptera; Diprionidae.